UGGCAUCAGCGACGGAUUCGCAAUGGAAAAUAUACUAGCCUAUUUUUAACGGAUUUUUGAUCGAUUAGUGACGGAAAUUUAAAAAAUUAUCGACGAACUUUUUCCGUCGCUAAUCUAUGGGAAAUUUUAAAACUCGCCUAAGAUCUCCUCCCAACUGCUCCUCCACGCCGCCGCCGCCGCCCCCGACACCACCAAAGGCUUUCACGACACUGCGCAAUGGCCUGUAGCAAGUUUUGCGAUGGAACUUCAUCCCCAUACAGCAACUUGGCAGCAACGUCAUCCCUCUGUCUCUAUCUUUCUGCAACCUCUCCCAUAUCUGUUCUCGAGCGUCCAUUGUGCCGUUGUCCGCAUCAGCUUUUGUUGGUGCCAUGGAACUUAUACUCUCGAUUGGAGCUCUUCAAAAUAUGAGAAGGUGUGGUAGCUGUUUUUACCAUUGAAAGGGUGGGAGAGACAUUUAAUGAAACUGCAAUACCUCUAAGGUACACACCAAGAAAGUUUGUGGUUCAACAUAAGAAAAAGCUUUUGGUAAUUAUUGAGAGUGAUCAAGGAGCAUAUGCAGCAGAGGAGCGUGAAGCUGCCAAAAAGGAGUCUUUUGAGGCUGCUGGGAUGGGGGAAAAUGGAAGUUCAAAUGCUGAUCAGAUGAAGAAUGGUGGUGAUGAUGAAGACAAAGAUGAUCCACUUUCUGAUGAGUAGUAUGGUUAUCCAAAGGCAGAAUCGGAAAAGUGGGUUUCUUGCAUUAGAGUUCUAGACCCAAGGACGGCAUCCACAACUUGUCUGCUGGAGCUUCAGGACAAUGAAGUUGCAUUUGGCGUGUGCACAGUUAACUUCCAUGACAAGGAGCAUGGAACUCUUUUAGCUGGUACUGCCAAGGGACUCCAAUUUUGGCUUUCUCCAGUUUAAGGUUCAUCUUCUAGUCUUUUCAGAUGCCUUGAAAAGUAGUAUUACAAAAUUUGAAACUCUAGCUACUUCUUUCUCAUGCACAUUAGCUUAUCAUGGAGGACUUUCUCAAACUAUAUUUUCUUUAGAAGAGGCUGAACAAAUAUUAGAGUAAAAUUGGAUGAAAGAAAAGAACAAACGUAAGAGCAAAUGUGACUACAAAUUGAAAAGUAAGUAAAAGUCCAUAUUAAAUCACUGAGGAAUCAAAAGAGAUCUUUACCAUAUAACACAACUGCAGAUUUUACUUUUCCAUGAGGAUGGUUCAGUAAAUUGAUGGAUUUGUUCUAAACUUUAUGAAUAUGGUUAAUUAAUAUGGAUUUAUUCUAACCUUUAUAAAUAUUAUUAAGUAUUUGUGUGUAUGAACAUAAAUUAUAAUGAUUAUGAAUGACGUUUAAUUUAUAUUGAAUAUAUUUUUUAGUUGUAAAUUAUUUAUACUAUAUAGGGAAUGUCUAAAUAAAAAAAAAAUUAUUUUAUUGAUAAUAAUGAAUAUUAUUGAAAAUAUAAAUAAUUUUUGCGACGGAUUUGAUAAAAUAAUCUUAAUAUUUCCAACGGAUUUGCGACGACUUUUGUGAAAAUGGUCUUAAAUUUUCGACAGCUAUUUUUCAUCGCUAAUUAUUUCCGAUAGAUUAGCGAUGGAUUGGUUAUCACAUGGAUUAUGCUUUUUCGACAGAUUUAGAGAUGAAUAAAGUUUGUCAAAUAUUUUUGACGGAAUGGUUCAUCAAAAAUACCGUUGAAAAAAAUUAGUGAUAUGACUAUAAGCGACGGAUAUUAGGCUAUACAAAAUCCAUACUGAAAGUAUUAGCAACGAAUUUAGACUAUCAAUGAUUGAAAUGAUAGUUUUUUUUUUAUUGAACAAUCUCCACACAUUUCAAAGAUUUUUUAUUACUGGGUGUAAAAUUUAGUGUAUAUGUUUCGAAUAUAGUAUCUUUUGGACUAUGAACUAGAUCUAGAUUAAUAAGACUAAACAUACAGAAUAAUUGGUGAAACUUUUGCUUCUAUGAAUAAAAAACUCUUUCUAGUAGGCUAAUAUCCCAUCAAUUUCAUAACACUCUACAGAUCUCAUUGUUAACGCUGUUUUGCGCUAAUAGGCUAUGCGCACGCCUGUUAGUUCAUUAUUGCUUUAGAAAUUAUACCACAAUCUCAUAAAAGCGGCUCUACUUCAUACUUAUAUACAUGAUAUCAUCAAAUGUAUACUGCAAUUUAUAUACCACCCAUAACAGAUAUGAAUGUCAUUAAGAGUUUUCAGCUCAUCCUCUCAUUAAUACAUUUUACCACUUCUCAUACUAUAGGAAAAACAAAUGACAAAUAGUGUUAACAGAACUAACAAGUGACUUGUUAGUACCCAUAUGAAAUAUUUUUCAUGAGAUCUCCCAUCAUAAAAGUUGGGUUCCUACCAUUGUUAACUUCAAAUUGGCUCAUCAAGUCUCGUUAUGUUUAUUUAUUAGUUUUCUUCCUAAAAGUUUAGUCAGAGGAUCGGCCAAAUCCACUUCUAAUUCCACAUAAUUAAUGGGUAUAAUUCCAUUUCUUAGUAGCUGUUUUACCAUAUUUUUUCUUAGAUGAAUAUGUCUAUUUUUACUAUUGAAAGUUUUAAUCUUUGCAAUAGCUAUUGUCUUUUGGCAAUCACAACACACAAAUGAUAUUGAUUUUAUUCUUAAUAUAGUAUUUGCUAAGAAAUUUCUUAGCCACUUAAGUCUCAUUGUCAUCUA
This is a long non-coding RNA of Manihot esculenta (cassava), 2642 nucleotides long. RefSeq lists it as uncharacterized. The transcript is spliced from 3 exons. The record is from RefSeq and is a predicted model, not a curated record. NCBI's taxonomy places the organism in Eukaryota, Viridiplantae, Streptophyta, Magnoliopsida, Malpighiales, Euphorbiaceae.